UUCAUAGAAUCAAAAAAUGAUUGAACUGGAAUGGACCUUAACCUGUUCCAACCUGCUGCUGUGGGCUGGUUGCCACCCACCGCAUCAGGUGGCCCAAGGCUCCAUCCAACCUGGCCUAGAGCACCUGAAGGGAUGGAGCACCCACAGCUUCUUUAACCUGUUCCAGAGCCUCUCUUAGAACUCACUGUUGCAAUGAGAAAUCUCACCAGCCACAAUGACUUGUCACCAGCCCUGUCCUGAAAAUCCCAGUAGGAACCUGCGUGAGCAGCACAACAGCAUUGGUGAUGAGCACUGUGCCUAGCAGAGGCUGUAGCAUCUCUCACUAUCCUACCCCCAUGAGAAUAUGCAGUGCUGCUCUGCUUCCCUUUAUUAUCUUUUUGCUGAUUGCUGCUAAUGGUAAUUUUAGUUUGCACUGAGUCACAGCUAGACUGGUAUCCUGUGAUGUUUACAGUCUCCUGCAUUGUAUAUUUGGAAAUGCUAAUAAAAAUAAUUUCUGAAAAGGAGAAACGAAUUGCUAUUCAAACUGCUUACAGAGCAUGAAGAAAAAACAUCAUCUUGCCAAGAUUAGCUGUGGAUCUCUAACAUUAUCCUUUAAUUAUUAUUGAGCAUCAUUGUCACAGGCUCUCACUGGAGAAAAUCCAUCUGAGACUCCCAAUUUCCCAAGCCACUGUUUAGAUUUGAAGUUUCACCAAAGGCAGGAUUUGAAUCUGUCCCCAAUACUGAAUGUGAUCACUGCAUUAAUUAAAAUGUAACAUGUCAUACAAGUCAUUUUAAACCUGGGAGUGAACUCCUUUUACCUUUCCUGUGCACAAGGAUGCACUCUGCUGUCACAGACAAGGCUUUCACAACUGUUUUGUACAGAAAUUGAUGGCAUUUUGCAGCGUUAUACUUUAUACUUGGAAUGAAAUAGAGGCAGGAUAUCAUUCCACAUCCAUCAAGAAGAACGGCUCAGAAGUCAGAGUUUUAGGUUAAGGAUAAACCAAAGGGACUUUUUAUCAGCUGUUGACACUCCUGCUUGUGUUCAGACCUUUGAGCUUUUCCAAAUUAUGGCAAACCUGCAAGGAUGACUAAUGGCUACAGCAGAGUUCAGAUGCCAUACUGCAUUAUGGAUUCUAGAUGUACAACAAAGUCAUUGCCCUCUGACGGUUUUAUGCUGGAGAAAUCCUGCUGCAGCCACAAAAGGAAUUAGGGCAUUUACAGCUCUUUGCAGCAGUUUGAGAUUGGAGUAGUGUCAAAGGGCAAUGAUUUCCUCUGAAACAGCUGAAAAACGGCACUUAAAAACACAAUGCAGAGUGCUUAGGCUCAUUUAGUCUGAUACUCAGAGGACAACAUGAACAUACAAACUAUUAUAAUUCAUGUGCAACAGGGAACACAGUUACACCUGUCUAGGCAAAUCUGGCAAAGUAUACGCAAGUGUAACAUGAGCAAGCAUACACUUAACAAGAUUUACUUGUUAAUAUGGUUAAGAACAGAAAUAGCAAAACCAGUCCCAGAAAAUCUUGGGUCUGUUGAGUCAGACAUUCUUAUUCUGAUGCAAUCAGAAUCAGAGCACCUUGAAGCCCACUCUCCCAAGUCCACCAAGCCAAUCCUAGCUGCCCCCUAGAACCUGGAAGUUACACAUUCAGCAGAAUAAGACCAAAAAAAUUACACCAAAAGGCUAUGACUAAAUAGAGACAGGCAUCUGGAAUGGGCACACUUGGAUAUAUUAAGGUGUCACUGAGGUUCCUUUGGUUAUAACCCUGGCUGCUGGCUUUUCCUGAAGGAGAGGUGCCAGGAAACCCCUCAAACACCAGCGCUGCUCUCCUAUGGCCAGGAGGAGUAAGGAGCAGAACAUUGACAGUUCUGAGCCUUUAAGUCCGAGCCUUUAACAAGGCUUCCAUAUGCUCAUGAAGUUCACCUGUCCAAAGCUGUUACUGUCCCCAAGCAAUUUCUGACUUACAGACUUUUGUCCAUGAACGUUUGCUAGCUCAACCAGCUGAAAGGCUUGAAAAAAAGAGAUUUAAUUUGGAUUAGGAAUUGAGCUCGGUGUUUACUCCAAAUACCUUUUCUAAAUGAAGUGAAUGAUUUUUAACAGUAACAUUUUUCUUGUCUAGAGAUCAUCCAGCAGAACAGAAAAUCAUUCAGGAAAGCUUGAAAGUGAAGUUUGCCCUGAUAUCAAACUGAAUUUUAAUUCAUUUACAUGCAACAUAUAAUUGCAGAAGUUUGCCCACAUAAAAAUGGCUAACCAGAUUACUGGAGCAGCAACUCAUUGAAAGUUAAAUUGAUUUCUCAAAGAUAUCAAACAUCAUUUUCUAAACAAUAAAAAGACCAAAGCUUUCAUCUUCAGAAGUCACAUACGUCUCCAGAGAGAGAAAAGGACAUUUAUGAUGAGAAAGAUAAAGGGGUGCAGUAAGCCGUCAGAAGUUCUUUUGAUAUCAAAAAGAUUGAUGAUGUUUGACCUCAGCAGUGUGGAUCAAGUGCUCAAAUCCAUCACUACCACGGAAGGUUCAAGUUGGAUAUCAGGAAAAGGUUCUGCACAAGAAUACGCUAUGUUUCUAUGACUGUCUUCUGCCCUGCACUUUCAUUCUUCUUUAAAAUGGAGAUAGUCAUGGCUACAAUCGAGCACCUCUUAAAUGCAGUGAGGAACAGGGCUGUUUUAAGCUCAUUUUCUUUGAGGCUAACCACUCUGCUCUGGACUGCAUAAGUUUGACAAAGUUCAUUUUUCCUAAGCUUUUUCUGGAACUCUUCAUAAGGUAAAAACAGUGAAGCAUUACUCUGAGAAGCAUAUUCUCCUGCAUGUUAAUGUACUUCCUUAUAGCUCUGCCUUGUGAAGUUAAACAUGCGCUCAGACAGAGUCUGUGCUGAAGAAGCUUCCAAUAGCUCAUCAGCUCCAAGCAGACCUGGUGUCCAUUCCAUCUGACAAAGCACCAGCCAGGCAGUGCCUCCAUCGCAUGGCAUAUGAAACAUCUGCCCAGCGAGGCCAAACUGCUCCUUCUGCCUCUGUUAUUUUGACAGCUCUCCAAGCAAAAUUAACUGCUUUGUCACUGUAUUCAUUCCUAUUGCCCCACAGACUAAACCCAGCAAUGUUAUUCCCCGUCUCUCCAGCACUUUCCACGGCAGCGCACUGUUUGUUCCCACACUUUAUCAGCACGAGGCAGUGUUACGCCACUGCUGAUGCAAACAGCUGGUCAGUUUUUAGGACGGGUGUCUGUAUUAUCAUCUGCUGUUCCUGCACAAGGCGUAGUACAUCUGAUUGCCUUCACUCCGGCCGUCAGCAGAGCUGCCCAUCACGCAGCCCACACAAACUUCCACUAGAAACACUCCGACACAAAUCAGAUGGAAAAGCAUUAUGUCAUAAGACAGACUAAGACACAUCUUACAAUACGUAAGAUACCAUGUCUGAAUAAUGCAUUUAGCCAGAUGUUUUAUGGCCUAACUUUCAGGGAUCUUAAUACCAUCUGCAUGUAAAAUCUGCGUCUUGCAGGGAAGCCAUUAACCAGGCUAGAAUCUUACUGCACACUGCAAAAUAACAACAGUGCCUUCUGCAGUAAGUUGGAGCUUGGUAUCUGUGCAUGGUGGUGAUGGGUUGACAGUUGGACUAGAUGAUCAUAAUGGUCUUUUCCAACCUAUGACCUAUGGAAAUAUGGCUAACGGAGGAGAGGUGAGUCAGCAAAUGGGAUCAAAGUAACAACGGGAUGCUUCAGUACUUGCUAAAGUUGAAGCUCGCUAACGUGAAUUUACUUUCAAAUGACAACAGCUGAGGGAGCAGCCUAAAAGCUUUCUUUUUAAGCACAAAAUAAAAUAUUUACCUGAAAUGAGAACCUUGUUUCUACUUCCACGAAAGUUUCUGUUUCAAAACACUUCGUUAACAUAUUCAUUGUGAGAAUCAUCAUCUUCAUUCUACAUGUAAGGUCCUGAAAUAGACCUGUUUAAUUGAAACUUCACACAUUCGGAACUACUCUACAGGAGAUGGUUCCUUUAAAACAACAACAGAAAAAUCAAAAUAUAACAAAAAAAAAAAAAA
Non-coding RNA from Phasianus colchicus (ring-necked pheasant), 4003 nucleotides. The record is from RefSeq and is a predicted model, not a curated record. NCBI's taxonomy places the organism in Eukaryota, Metazoa, Chordata, Aves, Galliformes, Phasianidae.